GGGGGGGGGGGGCGGGGGGCGGGGCGCGUGCAGGGCGGACGGGGAGGCCCUGCUUUGGUGGGGUGCUCGAGUGGCGAACGGGUGAGUAACACGUGAGUAACCUGCCCUUGACUUUGGGAUAACUUCAGGAAACUGGGGCUAAUACCGGAUAGGAGCUCCUGCUGCAUGGUGGGGGUUGGAAAGUUUCGGCGGUUGGGGAUGGACUCGCGGCUUAUCAGCUUGUUGGUGGGGUAGUGGCUUACCAAGGCUUUGACGGGUAGCCGGCCUGAGAGGGUGACCGGCCACAUUGGGACUGAGAUACGGCCCAGACUCCUACGGGAGGCAGCAGUGGGGAAUAUUGCACAAUGGGCGGAAGCCUGAUGCAGCAACGCCGCGUGCGGGAUGACGGCCUUCGGGUUGUAAACCGCUUUCGCCUGUGACGAAGCGUGAGUGACGGUAAUGGGUAAAGAAGCACCGGCUAACUACGUG
Molecule: ribosomal RNA, 468 nt
Filed under: uncultured bacterium
Lineage: Bacteria
Description: partial 16S ribosomal RNA
Rfam family: Bacterial small subunit ribosomal RNA
Source: RNAcentral